This is a long non-coding RNA of Syngnathoides biaculeatus (alligator pipefish), 797 nucleotides long. RefSeq lists it as uncharacterized. The record is from RefSeq and is a predicted model, not a curated record. The transcript has 4 exons. Lineage: Eukaryota; Metazoa; Chordata; Actinopteri; Syngnathiformes; Syngnathidae.
CUCGCAUUGUGUUAAUUUUUACAUACACAGUAAUUAUGGAAAGAAAGUUGAGAACAGUUGGACUUUAGGUAACUUUUUCUUCGGCAUUGAGUUUGUGAAAGAUCUUGCUGUUUCCCUGUGGGUGUGAGUCAACGGAGCUUCAAACAUCAUUGCCAACCUUUCCACCUCCAUAGCUUGUUUGUCCUGCUUGGCAAAUCCAGUGAGCAUCUUGGCUUGGAAACCACCCGACAGAGCGAUAAAUGGCAGGAAGCACAGGAUGAGCAGUGUCAGCUUCCAACUGAAGUAGAAGGACAUGAGGAUGGCCACUCCAAUGUUGGUCAGAGAGUUGACAAUCAUGCCAAUCUGGGAGCCAGUGGCCUUUGGAGAAGAAAGUUUGUGCAAUGAUGAAUCCACAGCAUUCCGGAGCAGAAAGAAGACUAAUUGGGCAUGACUACACACCAGAAGUAAGUGAGGUAAGUACUUUACACUCGGAUUCAAAGCAGUAAGAUUCCAACGUUAAGACAGCACGUUACUUUUUUUUUACACCUGUAAAUAUAAUUAAUGAAGUUUUUAUGAUGGCGAUUUGACACUUUGUAUAUCCAUCCAUCCAUUUUAUGAGCCGCUUGUCCUCACAAGGAUUGGGGAACUACUAGAGCCUAUCCGAGCUGUCAUAGGGUAGGACACGGUACACCCUGAACUGGUUGCCAGCCAAUCGCAGGGCACAUGGAGACAGACAACAGUGGCACUCGCAAUCACCCCUCGGGGCAAUUUAGAGUCUCCAAUGAAUUCAUGUUUUUGGGAUGUGGGAGGAAACCGGA